GGGAGACAAGAGAAGGGAGAAAAGACGGGGGUGAAACACUCCGCAUCUGCCGUUCCCACGGUGGUCGUCCUCGUCGUCCAACCCUGCGCGCCCGACGAGGACCGCGGCAUCCGCACCUUCACCAAGCAGUCCGCGGCGGACAAGCGCCCCAGCUAUGGGCACCGCCCACGAGCUCUGCGCCGGACGGUCCGGUCAAGGUAAUAAGGCCGGCUCCUCUCCCCCCUCGUUCACCUACAUAGCUUAAUUUUGCCCGUUGCCAUUUCGUCAGCUGUGUUUGCGAGGAGUCAGGAGCAAACUUGUUUUGUUGUUGGAUAGAUCUCUGUUCAUGUCAUGUGUAGGAAACCACCCAGGUGUUUUGUAAGCCGGUUGUAUAGGGGUGGGGUAGGGGAUACGCGAGGGGGAGCCAUGGAGCUUCGGCUACAGGAGGUUGUUGCCUCAGCCAACAAUGAAUGGCAGGAGCCAUAUACGUCGAUUUUUGUUGUCGGUGUUUUGUCUAGAGUCAGCAACAAACAAAUUAUACUGUGUGUUGAAGCUAGCAUCUACACUAAUGAAUUCAGCUUAGCUUCUGGUAGUUGUUUUUUGUCUGCCCAUUAUUGUGCUGGGGGGAGGGGUGUUAGUUGAUGACAAUGAGGUUAAGCAGGCUGUUUUUGAUUUGAUCUGUAAGUUUUCAGACUUUAGACUGUAAAUUAAGUUAUUGUUCACAUCUCUAGGGUAUAAAAACAGAAUUCAUAGUGUUUUACUGAAAUGCAGAAUCCAACACGCUGAAUUCAGAGUGUUUUGCAGAGCAUACCACACAUUCUGAAUCUGUUAGUUUUUAGAAUUUGGGAUUCACGAUGUUUUAUUUUUCAUUUUUGAUCUGCAAGUUUAGAGUGUGGGAUUCAGGAUGUUUAGCACACAUUUUUUAGUUGGAUUCGGAAUGUGGGAUUUCCAGGAUGUUUAUUUUCAGAGAGAGCAUACAUUUUUGAGUACGUAAGCUCAGUGAUUGAGAUUGUUGGAUUUAGGCUUUUUUCAUUUUUUUUCAUUUUUCAGUCUGUAUGUUCAGUGAUUAACAUGUGUAUCUGUGUCGUGCAUGAGAGGGCGAUGUGUCCUCAAGGUUUUUGUUUCCCAGUAGUAGUGUAGCUUUUAGUAGAGGGACACAUUCUCAAUUUUUUUGAUAACCAACUUCAGUGAGACAAAAGCAAGUUUUUUCUUAAUUUAAUGGUUAAUGUUUUCUCUCUGCCCCAGAGAAUUAUCUGAAUGUGCACAACGCGUAUGAAAAAUGCUUGAAUAUGCAUAACGCCUCAAGUUGCCUGAACAAAGCAGAGUGUACAAAAAUGUCCGUAAGAAUGUUUAUAAUGUACACAAUAGCUUUUCGACAUAGAGUCAGUGGUUUUUGCAAGUUGUUCUUUCAUGUUUUUUUUUCAAUGUACACAAUAGCUUUUCGACGUAGACUCAGUGGUUUUUGCUGUCCUCAUGUUUGGUUUACGAUUUUCAUUUUCCCUAUCACUGUAAGAGAUUUACCUUUUUUGUUGGUGCUCAUGUUUUUGGUGCAAAUGUUCGUGUCUUUUUUUAAACAGGAGCUUUGCAAGCAAAGAUACAAAUUCUGACCAGUUGGAGUUGAACAACAAUAAUCAACAACAUGACUCAGGGAAUGACAGCAUGACUGACCAGCAGGAGCAAACAUCUCGUGGCAUUUGUUCACAAGCUACGUAAACUAUAGUUGAUUUGACAGAAAGUGAUGCAUCAGACGGCAUGUUGCUUGAUGGCUUGAGAACAAUCGUAAGUAUGUUCUAAACUACAGGAAGCUACUCUUUUCCUUUUUGUGUUUGUUUUCCUUUUUCUUGUAUUUUUAUUUUUCUCCUCUUUGAUUUUCAUAAGUUGAAUUCUCUGACAAAAACUUCAUUUAUUUGUAUAGUUGCAGAAAAGACAAGAGAGGAAGCAGGAAAUGAGUGUUUUAAAAGAGCAAAGGGACAAGGUACUCGUUGACAAAGAAAACUACUUCAAUAUGUUUUUCUACUAACGAGGCCCAGGUCUGUGUACACAUGUGGCCUUUUCCUUCUCAAACAAACAAGAACAAACAAACAAAAAGCCCAACAAAAACAAGGGCAGGUUGCGGGGGUUGUUGGGCUGGAAGGGAUGGGCUGCCCACACAACAAACAAACUGGUCGACACGAGGUGAUCGGGGAGCAACCACGCGUAUUGUUUGUCAACAAGUGGGGACAGAUUAGAUGUAACAUAGACAUACCCUUUUUUUAAUUCAUCAAUAAUUCUUGGACUUUUCUAAAUCCAUGGAAUAUCUUAAAUUUUAUUUAAAAAAAUUCGUGAACAUUUUAAUAAUCCAUGAACAUUUUUUGAAUGUACAUUUAUUUUUUAGUUCUGGUGAAAAUACCACUAGUCGAUAUUGUUCAUUGAACAACAAUU
RNAcentral lists this long non-coding RNA (2400 nucleotides) under Triticum aestivum (bread wheat). RNAcentral's name for it is "long non-coding RNA (TAES_LNC025401)". Lineage: Eukaryota; Viridiplantae; Streptophyta; Magnoliopsida; Poales; Poaceae. The record is from RNAcentral.